RNAcentral lists this transfer RNA (75 nucleotides) under Methanomicrobiales archaeon HGW-Methanomicrobiales-5. Its description in RNAcentral is "tRNA-Glu". It matches the Rfam family "tRNA". Rfam says of the family: Transfer RNA (tRNA) molecules are approximately 80 nucleotides in length. Their secondary structure includes four short double-helical elements and three loops (D, anti-codon, and T loops). Further hydrogen bonds mediate the characteristic L-shaped molecular structure. tRNAs have two regions of fundamental functional importance: the anti-codon, which is responsible for specific mRNA codon recognition, and the 3' end, to which the tRNAs corresponding amino acid is attached (by aminoacyl-tRNA synthetases). tRNAs cope with the degeneracy of the genetic code in two manners: having more than one tRNA (with a specific anti-codon) for a particular amino acid; and 'wobble' base-pairing, i.e. permitting non-standard base-pairing at the 3rd anti-codon position. RNAcentral also lists the same sequence under 3 other names. Lineage: Archaea; Methanobacteriati; Methanobacteriota; Methanomicrobia; Methanomicrobiales. The record is from RNAcentral.
GCUCCGAUAGUGUAGCACGGCCAAUCAUGCGGGACUCUCACUCCCGCGACUGGGGUUCAAAUCCCCAUCGGAGCA